GAUGAACGCUGGCGGCGUGCUUAACACAUGCAAGUCGAACGGGAAAUCUUUCAUUGAGACUUCGGUGGAUUUGAUUUAUUUCUAGUGGCGGACGGGUGAGUAACGCGUGGGUAACCUGCCUUAUACAGGGGGAUAACAGUCAGAAAUGGCUGCUAAUACCGCAUAAGCGCACAGAGCUGCAUGGCUCAGUGUGAAAAACUCCGGUGGUAUAAGAUGGACCCGCGUUGGAUUAGCUAGUUGGUGGGGUAACGGCCCACCAAGGCGACGAUCCAUAGCCGGCCUGAGAGGGUGAGCGGCCACAUUGGGACUGAGACACGGCCCAGACUCCUACGGGAGGCAGCAGUGGGGAAUAUUGCACAAUGGGGGAAACCCUGAUGCAGCGACGCCGCGUGAAGGAAGAAGUAUCUCGGUAUGUAAACUUCUAUCAGCAGGGAAGAUAGUGACGGUACCUGACUAAGAAGCCCCGGCUAACUACGUG
This 478-nucleotide ribosomal RNA is filed under the name uncultured bacterium. RNAcentral's name for it is "partial 16S ribosomal RNA". It matches the Rfam family "Bacterial small subunit ribosomal RNA", at positions 28 to 507 of the family's 1533-position model. The record is from RNAcentral.